GAUUUCUGGGAGGGUGCCAAUGUCCGCUUGUUUGCGUGUGCAGCGGCGCCCUUCCAUCCUUCUGUUAACGUUUCUUGGUAUUCAGUUACUGGUUUCGGGCUCAGAUAUUUUACCUUGAGAAAAUUAGAGUGUUUCAGGCAGGCUUGCGCCGGAAUACAUUAGCAUGGAAUAAUAGAAUAGGACUUUAGUCUCCUUUGUUGGUUUGAGGGACUGAAGUAAUGAUUAAUAGGGAUAGUUGGGGGCAUUAGUAUUUAAUUGUCAGAGGUGAAAUUCUCGGAUUCGCUGAAGACUAACUUAUGCGAAAGCAUU
RNAcentral lists this ribosomal RNA (309 nucleotides) under uncultured Cercozoa. RNAcentral describes it as "SSU rRNA". The stretch from base 50 to 309 matches the Rfam family "Eukaryotic small subunit ribosomal RNA", at positions 692 to 955 of the family's 1831-position model. The record is from RNAcentral. Lineage: Eukaryota; Cercozoa.